RNAcentral lists this long non-coding RNA (207 nucleotides) under Lathyrus oleraceus (garden pea). RNAcentral's name for it is "Pisum sativum (pea) long non-coding RNA (PSAT_LNC040034)". Lineage: Eukaryota; Viridiplantae; Streptophyta; Magnoliopsida; Fabales; Fabaceae. The record is from RNAcentral.
GAAGCAAGACCAUUUACCGAUGGUGGCUUCAGAGAAACUUGACAUUUACCGAUGUCAAACUUAGCAAGGCCAUUUACCGAUGGCUGCUGCAACUGGGAAUUCGAUAUUUACCGAUAUCGAAGAAACUGGCCAUUUACCGCAUGGCAUCGCUUGGGGAGGAACAAAAUCUUUGUGGUAAUACCGGACAACGUUUACCGACGACCUCUG